CCGUAAGGUGGUACCAGAAUAAGGGCUGGGCAAGACCGGUGCCAGCCGCCGCGGUAAUACGGCAGCCCAAGUGAUGGCCGAUCUUAUUGGGCCUAAAGCGUCCGUAGCUGGCCGCGCAAGUCCAUCGGGAAAUCCACCUGCUCAACAGGUGGGCGCCCGGUAGAAACUGCGUGGCUUGGGACCGGAAGGCGCGACGGGUACGUCCGGGGUAGGAGUGAAAUCCCGUAAUCCUGGACGGACCGCCGAUGGCGAAAGCACGUCGCGAGGACGGAUCCGACAGUGAGGGACGAAAGCCAGGGUCUCGAACCGGAUUAGAUACCCGGGUAGUCCUGGCCGUAAACAAUGUCUGCUAGGUGUGGCUCCCACUACGAGUGGGUGCUGUGCCGUAGGGAAGCCGCUAAGCAGACCGCCUGGGAAGUACGUCCGCAAGGAUGAAACUUAAAGGAAUUGGCGGGGGAGCACUACAACCGGAGGAGCCUGCGGUUUAAUUGGACUCAACGCCGGACAUCUCACCAGCAUCGACUGUAAUAAUGACGACCAGGUUGAUGACCUUGUCCGAGUUUCAGAGAGGAGGUGCAU
RNAcentral lists this ribosomal RNA (579 nucleotides) under Halorubrum distributum. RNAcentral's name for it is "partial 16S ribosomal RNA". It matches the Rfam family "Archaeal small subunit ribosomal RNA", at positions 417 to 995 of the family's 1478-position model. Lineage: Archaea; Methanobacteriati; Methanobacteriota; Halobacteria; Halobacteriales; Haloferacaceae. The record is from RNAcentral.